CCUACUGCACCACCUCCUCUGCCUUUCUCUUCCUGAUCUCCAUUCUCAAUCAUAACCACACCUCCAUUAUACACUUAACUAAAACUAGCUGCGGCUUUUUAAGCAGCCCCUGGAUUUAGUGGCUGAAUAUAUAUAGCUAAAUUUUGUAACGGAAGUUAUUCCACACAUGGGCAACGCCGACUGCGUCUAUCCGACCUCUAACGUGGAGUAUGCUCAUCGAGUGGCCAUUCCUCCGCCGCAGCCUUUUGUCAAGUCGCUGAAAUAUAAUUUGAAAGAGACUUUCUUUCCUGAUGAUCCACUUAGGCAGUUCAAGAACCAACCUCCUUCUCGGAAACUCAUAUUAGGCCUCCAAUAUUUCUUGCCAAUUCUUAAAUGGGCUCCUCGUUAUAAUUUGGAGUUCUUGAAAGCUGAUCUUAUUGCUGGCAUCACUAUUGCUAGUCUUGCUAUCCCUCAAGGGAUAAGUUACGCAAAAUUAGCUAACUUGCCACCAAUUCUUGGCCUCUAUUCAAGCUUUGUUCCACCACUGGUUUAUGCAAUGAUGGGAAGUUCACGAGAUUUGGCAGUAGGGACAGUGGCUGUUGCAUCUCUCCUAACAGCUUCUAUGCUAGGAAAUGAGGUUAAUGCUAAUGAGAACCCCAAGCUUUAUCUUCACCUAGCCUUCACAGCAACAUUCUUUGCUGGAGUUUUCCAAGCGUCUCUGGGCCUGUUAAGGCUAGGAUUUAUCGUGGACUUUCUUUCACAUGCAACGAUAGUAGGUUUUAUGGCAGGAGCAGCAACAGUAGUUUGCCUGCAACAGCUAAAAGGAAUAUUGGGUCUUGAUCAUUUCACCCAUGCCACUGAUGUUGUCUCAGUCAUGCGUUCUGUUUUCACUCAAACGCAUCAGUGGAGAUGGGAAAGUGCGGUUCUUGGGUGUUGCUUUCUGUUCUUCCUUCUCACCACCAGAUAUUUCAGCAAGAGACGACCAAAGUUCUUCUGGAUAUCAGCAAUGGCACCUUUGACAUCAGUUGUUUUGGGAAGCCUUCUUGUUUAUCUUACACAUGCUGAGAGACAUGGAGUUCAAGUGAUUGGACACUUGAAGAAAGGGUUAAAUCCACCGUCCUUCGGUGACCUGGUUUUUGUGUCUCCUCAUCUGACGACAGCUAUCAAAACAGGCAUCAUCACUGGCGUCAUAGCUCUGGCUGAAGGAAUAGCAGUGGGAAGAAGCUUUGCCAUGUUCAAGAAUUACCAUAUCGAUGGUAACAAAGAGAUGAUUGCUAUUGGGACUAUGAACAUUGUAGGUUCCUGUACUUCCUGCUACCUCACAACAGGGCCAUUUUCGCGAUCGGCAGUGAAUUUCAAUGCUGGAUGCAAGACAGCAGUAUCAAACAUUGUUAUGGCUUUGGCUGUGAUGAUGACACUCUUGUUCCUGACUCCUUUGUUCCAUUACACUCCACUUGUGGUGCUUUCCUCUAUUAUCAUAUCUGCUAUGCUCGGCCUCAUCGAUUACGAAGCAGCAAUCCAUCUAUGGAACGUUGACAAGUUCGACUUCAUUGUGUGCAUUAGCGCCUAUGUGGGUGUGGUUUUUGGCAGUGUUGAGAUGGGCUUGGUCUUAGCGGUGGCAAUUUCUUUGCUAAGGGUGCUUCUGUUUGUUGCAAGACCAAGAACUUUUAUUCUUGGGAACAUUCCAAAUUCGAUCAUCUACAGAAAUGUUGAACAAUACCCAAAUGCAAGUACUGUUCCCGGAGUUCUCAUACUUGAGAUUGAUGCUCCAAUUUACUUUGCCAAUUCAAGCUACCUGAGAGAGAGGUUGAUAUUUAUUGCUAUAUUGCAAAAGCUUCAUAUAUAUAUGUAUAUAUAUGCUUUAAUUUCAUGAGACUGUGAGCUCACCAUAAGGCCUACAAUAACAGGAUCUCAAGGUGGAUUGAUGAAGAGGAAGACAGGAUAAAAUCUUCAGCAGAAACCAGCCUGCAGUAUGUAAUACUGGACAUGAGUGGUAGGUACAUGGAAAUGCUUUUGAUUUUCUUCUUGAACAUGAAGUUGCAAAGGAAAGGCAAAUUCACUGUGUUAUGCUCCUUUUGUUCUUGUUCGGCAGCUGUUGGUAACAUCGACACAAGUGGAAUCAGCAUGUUUGAGGAAGUUAAGAAAAUUACUGAUAGAAGAGGGCUCAAGGUACAUCUUUUUUCAUUUUUAAAGGUUUUAUUUAUUAGAUUUGCUUUUAUAUAUACUAAUAUGUUGUUACUUUUUCACUCGUUAUCUAUAUAGCUUGUAUUGGCCAACCCUGGAUCCGAGGUGAUGAAGAAACUAAACAAGUCCAAGUUCAUCGAGAACAUAGGCCAAGAAUGGAUCUUUUUGACAGUAGGAGAAGCGGUGGCAGCAUGCAACUUCAUGCUUCACACAUGCAAGCCAAACUCUAUGAAAGAUGAUCAAUCUGAGGCAUAUAACAAUGUCUAAGCUACAACUUCAAUCAUUUGAUGGGCAGAAGCAAGAGUUUUUCUUCAUAUAUAGACAGGCAGUGUGCAAUCAAUUAGGAAUUAACAUAUGCAUCGUAAAAUCAACAGGAAUUGAAGUGAAGCCCAAGUUGAUCUGAUGGAUGCUUUUUAGAUGUUUCUUUCCCCAACAAUGUAGAAGUUGCACAAUAUGCUUCUUUUAUACAUGAAAAUUCAAGGGCAGAGCUUUUAAGGCUCCUGCACAUGCUAUUAGUGUUUGUUUCAAUUUUGUUCAUAUGCGCAGGAUUGGUCAAAUUAGCCACUUUUUUUAUUUUUUAAUUUUUUAAAAUCUGGAAAGAAAAGUUUUUGUUUCAUAUGCAGCAGAAAUUUUUAUAACAUGGGUAAAAAUUAAAGACUAAAGAGGAUCACUUAGCAAGGGACAAAGACAUUGAAUGAUCGUUUUCUCCUAGCAGUGGAGUUCUAGUUUGGUAUCUGUGUCGGAGUCACUGUUUUGAAACUAAAACCUUUGAUCGGCAUUAAUUUCUAGCUCUUAAUUCUCUACCCACUAUUCCCCAACUCCCCAUCUUCAGUCUAUCUAUCUUUUCUACAAUCCUCUUCUAUUAUGAAUCCAACUGAACAUACCCUUUCAGACAUCAUUACCAUGGCAGAAUCUCUCAGUUGUGAAGAACCAUCUCUUGAAUUGAUAUCAAGUGCGGAUGCAGGAAGAAAGCACACAAAUGACAAAUUGAUCGCAAAAGUAAUAUCAGCAAAAAAGUAUAGUCCAUGUGUGUUGAGAUCCACCUUUAGCAAGAUUUGGUGUAAUCAAGUGGAGUUUCAAGUGACGCGAGGUCCUAUGGGGCUAUUCAUCUUUGGGUUUGCUAGAUAACAGAUAGUAGAGCAAAUUCUAAAGAGAGGGCCAUGGUUAAUCGACAACAAUCUUAUAAUUCUGAAGAAAAGGCCUCCGGACAAAAUGCCUCAAGAGAUUGACUUUUCCACAAGUAGCUGUUGGGUGCAAAUUCAAGGGCUACCACCAAGCACUUGGAAUAAAGAAAAUGCAGAAAGGAUUAGUCGGCUAUUUGAAGGUCUCAUUGAGGUAGAUGAAUCAAGAACAAAUUCUGAAGGUUGGUCAUCUUAUUUGCGGAUCAAAGUGUGGUUAGAUGUAAAUAAACCUACGGGGUUCUUUCAUUCGAAGGAUGGGAUCAAAAAAGAUUGGGUGCGAUUCAAGUAUGAAAAGAUACCUACGUUUUGCUUCAGAUGUGGGCGUAUUGGCCAUAUUAUGAGAACGUGUCCAGAAAGCCUCAUUCCUCUGUCUCAAUUAGAGCAAUCCAGCAAAACGCUCAAGUUUGGUCCAUGGCUAAAAGCAAACAAUAAUCUGGGUAAUCCUUCUAUUUCCAGUAACCUGAUUCAACACUCACAUGCCCAGGGUGUCUUGCAAGGAUCAAAUAGAGUCCUCAAACUUCGAUGCAGCCAAGAUCCAGCUUCGCCGAUAGCCAUCCCAGAGGCGCGUCCUCAUGAUGCUCUGCCAUCGCUAGCAUUGUCUCUUUCAUCGAGGCAAACUGAGAGUAUUAAUUAUAAUACCUCGACCUUCAAAGAAGAGAAGUCGAAGGACAGUAAGCAAUCUUCAAGUAUAUGCUCUAGUACACUUCUCAAGGAAGUCUUAAGCCGUAAAAAUGUGAAACAAUCUAUAUGCCUCCCACAAGCGCUUGUGAUUUCAGAUGACAGAUUAAUCUCUGAGCAACACAUACU
This 4151-nucleotide unclassified non-coding RNA is filed under the name Hevea brasiliensis (rubber tree). The record is from RNAcentral. Lineage: Eukaryota; Viridiplantae; Streptophyta; Magnoliopsida; Malpighiales; Euphorbiaceae.